RNAcentral lists this ribosomal RNA (744 nucleotides) under Conocybe sp. BAB-4753. Its description in RNAcentral is "eukaryotic LSU rRNA". The stretch from base 297 to 450 matches the Rfam family "5.8S ribosomal RNA". The record is from RNAcentral. Lineage: Eukaryota; Fungi; Basidiomycota; Agaricomycetes; Agaricales; Bolbitiaceae.
UUUCCGUAGGUGAACCUGCGGAAGGAUCAUUACAGAAAUAAACUUGAUGGAUUGUUGCUGGUUCACUAAUGUGAGCACUGUGCACGUCUGUCAUUUUUAUCUUUCCACCAUGUGCACCCUGCAUAGGCCUGAUUAUCAGCCAUUGGUUGAUCAAUAUGUAUAUAUUUUGGGAAUUGCAGUUUUGUAAAUGAACAGCUCUUUCCCUACCUUUCAGGUUCUAUGAUUUUUUUUUAUAAACCCCCUGUAUGUUUAUGAACGUCAAUCAAAGGCGCUUUUGUAGCCUAUAAACUUUAUACAACUUUCAGCAACGGAUCUCUUGGCUCUCGCAUCGAUGAAGAACGCAGCGAAAUGCGAUAAGUAAUGUGAAUUGCAGAAUUCAGUGAAUCAUCGAAUCUUUGAACGCCCCUUGCGCUCCUUAGUAUUCUGAGGAGCAUGCCUGUUUGAGUGUCAUUAAAUUCUCAAUUAUGUUCAGCUUUUUGUUGGAGCAUGAUUGGAUGUGGGGGUUUGUGGAUAUCGCAAGAUAUAUGCCACUCCCUUCAAAAAUAUUAGCUGGAAUGCCUUGGCAAAUCCAACUAUCAGUGUGAUAAAUAUCAGUGCUGUAGUUGUUGCAAAGGGAAUCUGCUUCUCAAUUGUUGCAAGACAACUUUGAAUCAAUUUGACCUCAAAUCAGGUAGGACUACCCGCUGAACUUAAGCAUAUCAAUAAGCGGAGGAAAAGAAACUAACAAGGAUUCCCCUAGUAACU